CACACACACACACACACACACACACACACACACACACAGACAGCAUUUAGGGAUUCAGUGUCUACUGCUUAUUUGUUACCUGUAGAAGCUGUGAAAAGAGAGCGUGCUCUGUUGUGUCAAGGCUCCGUCUGCAACGAGCAACAUCCCAGGUCAUCUUUUUUUGUUUGUUGGUGUACAAUAUUUCUGUGUCUUGUGUUAGUGUCCCCCCCUCCCCCCUUCUCCUUCUUCUCCUUGUUCUCCCAUUCGCUCCCUCCCAGGUCUUGCUCUUCAAUGUGUCUCUCUGUGAAAGUUUUUUCCUGUGAUGAUGAAAAUGUCUCUCUCUCUGCCUGAACCUUUGUAGGGAAAUAAUGACUGAGUUACUACAAUAUCAUGUGAUAGACAUAGACAUUUAUUCAAUACUGUAAUAAAUUAUUAACUGAAGAUGAUAUUUAAGUUUUUUUAUGAAAUGCAGAAAAAGAAUCUUUGGAAAAAAAAAAAAUGACAACUUGUUUUCGAGAACAUGGCAUGAGGUGUAAUGUGUUACUGAAAGAAAAUUAAGGUCUUUAAUUACGUGAAAUUGACCUUAUUUGAAUAUAGUUUAUUUAUUUUCAAGGCG
Long non-coding RNA from Sander lucioperca (pikeperch), 595 nucleotides. RefSeq lists it as uncharacterized. The transcript is spliced from 2 exons. Lineage: Eukaryota; Metazoa; Chordata; Actinopteri; Perciformes; Percidae. The record is from RefSeq and is a predicted model, not a curated record.